AACAAAGAAAAUAAUUAAAUUUAGAAUUUAAAGUUUACAAAAAUAUUUGUACUUUGUUA
RNAcentral lists this transfer RNA (59 nucleotides) under unidentified. RNAcentral's name for it is "Discoporella cookae tRNA-Leu". The record is from RNAcentral.